AUUGAACGCUGGCGGCAGGCCUAACACAUGCAAGUCGAGCGGAUGAAGGGAGCUUGCUCCUGGAUUCAGCGGCGGACGGGUGAGUAAUGCCUAGGAAUCUGCCUGGUAGUGGGGGAUAACGUCCGGAAACGGGCGCUAAUACCGCAUACGUCCUGAGGGAGAAAGUGGGGGAUCUUCGGACCUCACGCUAUCAGAUGAGCCUAGGUCGGAUUAGCUAGUUGGUGGGGUAAAGGCCUACCAAGGCGACGAUCCGUAACUGGUCUGAGAGGAUGAUCAGUCACACUGGAACUGAGACACGGUCCAGACUCCUACGGGAGGCAGCAGUGGGGAAUAUUGGACAAUGGGCGAAAGCCUGAUCCAGCCAUGCCGCGUGUGUGAAGAAGGUCUUCGGAUUGUAAAGCACUUUAAGUUGGGAGGAAGGGCAGUAAGUUAAUACCUUGCUGUUUUGACGGUAUCAACAGAAUAAGCACCGGCUAACUUCGUG
Molecule: ribosomal RNA, 484 nt
Filed under: uncultured bacterium
Lineage: Bacteria
Description: partial 16S ribosomal RNA
Rfam family: Bacterial small subunit ribosomal RNA
Source: RNAcentral